Molecule: ribosomal RNA, 771 nt
Filed under: Acinetobacter bouvetii
Lineage: Bacteria; Pseudomonadati; Pseudomonadota; Gammaproteobacteria; Moraxellales; Moraxellaceae
Description: bacterial SSU rRNA
Rfam family: Bacterial small subunit ribosomal RNA
Source: RNAcentral
UGCAAGUCGAGCGGAGUUGUGGUGCUUGCACCAUAACUUAGCGGCGGACGGGUGAGUAAUGCUUAGGAAUCUGCCUAUUAGUGGGGGACAACGUUUCGAAAGGAACGCUAAUACCGCAUACGCCCUACGGGGGAAAGCAGGGGAUCUUCGGACCUUGCGCUAAUAGAUGAGCCUAAGUCAGAUUAGCUAGUUGGUGGGGUAAAGGCCUACCAAGGCGACGAUCUGUAGCGGGUCUGAGAGGAUGAUCCGCCACACUGGGACUGAGACACGGCCCAGACUCCUACGGGAGGCAGCAGUGGGGAAUAUUGGACAAUGGGGGGAACCCUGAUCCAGCCAUGCCGCGUGUGUGAAGAAGGCCUUUUGGUUGUAAAGCACUUUAAGCGAGGAGGAGGCUACUGAUACUAAUACCUCUGGUAAGUGGACGUUACUCGCAGAAUAAGCACCGGCUAACUCUGUGCCAGCAGCCGCGGUAAUACAGAGGGUGCGAGCGUUAAUCGGAUUUACUGGGCGUAAAGCGUACGUAGGCGGCUUUUUAAGUCGGAUGUGAAAUCCCUGAGCUUAACUUAGGAAUUGCAUUCGAUACUGGGAAGCUAGAGUAUGGGAGAGGAUGGUAGAAUUCCAGGUGUAGCGGUGAAAUGCGUAGAGAUCUGGAGGAAUACCGAUGGCGAAGGCAGCCAUCUGGCCUAAUACUGACGCUGAGGUACGAAAGCAUGGGGAGCAAACAGGAUUAGAUACCCUGGUAGUCCAUGCCGUAAACGAUGUCUACUAGCC